This 1053-nucleotide ribosomal RNA is filed under the name Lithobius maqinensis. RNAcentral's name for it is "SSU rRNA". It matches the Rfam family "Eukaryotic small subunit ribosomal RNA", at positions 84 to 1126 of the family's 1831-position model. The record is from RNAcentral. Lineage: Eukaryota; Metazoa; Arthropoda; Chilopoda; Lithobiomorpha; Lithobiidae.
AAACCGCGAAUGGCUCAUUAAAUCAGUUAUGGUUCCUUAGAUCGUACCAUCCUACUUGGAUAACUGUGGUAAUUCUAGAGCUAAUACAUGCCGACCAGCUCCGACCUUCGGGGACGAGCGCUUUUAUUAGAACAAGACCAAUACGGAUCCGCAAGGGUCCGUUCCCGUUUGGUGACUCUGGAUAACUUGGAGCCGAUCGCACGGUCUUCGCACCGGCGACGCAUCUUUCAAAUGUCUGCCUUAUCAACUGUCGAUGGUAGGUUAUGUGCCUACCAUGGUUUUUACGGGUAACGGGGAAUCAGGGUUCGAUUCCGGAGAGGGAGCCUGAGAAACGGCUACCACAUCCAAGGAAGGCAGCAGGCACGAAAAUUACCCACUCCCGGCACGGGGAGGUAGUGACGAAAAAUAACAAUACGAGACUCUUCCGAGGCCUCGUAAUUGGAAUGAGUACACUUUAAAUCCUUUAACGAGGAUCUAUUGGAGGGCAAGUCUGGUGCCAGCAGCCGCGGUAAUUCCAGCUCCAAUAGCGUAUAUUAAAGUUGUUGCGGUUAAAAAGCUCGUAGUUGGAUCUCGGUGCCGGACCGCGGUCCCUCGUGCGGUCUCACUGCCGGCCCCGGAGCCAUCCCGCCGGCCGUCCACUCGGUGCUCUUCGCUGAGUGUCUUGGGUGACCGGAACGUUUACUUUGAACAAAUUAGAGUGCUCCAAGCAGGCCGUCCCGCCCGCAUAGCCCAGCAUGGAAUAAUGGAAUAGGACCUCGGUUCUAUUUUGUUGGUUUUCGGAACCCGAGGUAAUGAUUAAUAGGGACAGACGGGGGCAUUCGUAUUGCGACGCUAGAGGUGAAAUUCUUGGACCGUCGCAAGACGAACUACUGCGAAAGCAUUUGCCAAGAAUGUUUUCAUUAAUCAAGAACGAAAGUUAGAGGUUCGAAGGCGAUCAGAUACCGCCCUAGUUCUAACCAUAAACGAUGCCGACCAGCGAUCCGCCGGAGUUCCUCCGAUGACUCGGCGGGCAGCUUCCGGGAAACCAAAGUGUUUGGGUUCCGGGGGAAGUAU